GGUUGUAGCUCAGUGGUAGAGUGUUUGCCUAGCAUGUGUGAGGCACUGGGUUCUAUCCUCUGCACCA
RNAcentral lists this transfer RNA (67 nucleotides) under Marmota monax (woodchuck). RNAcentral describes it as "tRNA.Ala". The record is from RNAcentral. Lineage: Eukaryota; Metazoa; Chordata; Mammalia; Rodentia; Sciuridae.